CUCCUCUUUUAGCGGCGGGCUAGGGUUCCGCCGAACCCAGCCCGCCAGCCUCCGGUCGCCGGGCGACGAGCGCGCCGCCUCCUUCCGGUGGACUCGCCGCCCGAUGGCGAGCCCACCGGCGGUCGCACGCCAGCAGGGCAACGCCGGCGGGUUGGGGUUCCGCCGAACCCAACCCGUCGGCUCUUAGGAGCAGCGGGCGGCGAUUAUGCCGCCGGACGAAGUGCCGCCCGACGGCGCCACCGGGAUGGGCCCGACGCCGGACGAAACGCCGCCCGACGGCGUCACCCGGACGGUCGAACCACCCGCACUGACUCCGGAAGCGUACCUGGAUCCAUUGUUUUCUGGAUGAUCAAGUCCUUAGUUCGUAUCUCCCUCUUGGCCCCUGUUCGAACACCCGGUGAUGGAGACCGAUGCCGUGUUCCCUAUCUAGGCAGAGGGUGAGACCCGUUAUGUUAUCCUACCAUCAAGGAUAAUGCCUCCACUUCUCACGGGAUCGUAACUGACCACGAUGUGGU
Molecule: non-coding RNA, 515 nt
Organism: Phoenix dactylifera (date palm)
Lineage: Eukaryota; Viridiplantae; Streptophyta; Magnoliopsida; Arecales; Arecaceae
Source: RefSeq, a predicted model, not a curated record